Molecule: non-coding RNA, 74 nt
Organism: Pangasianodon gigas (Mekong giant catfish)
Lineage: Eukaryota; Metazoa; Chordata; Actinopteri; Siluriformes; Pangasiidae
Source: the annotation of a GenBank genome assembly
UCCCUGGAGGACUAGUGGUUAGGCCUUAGCACUAUCACCGCUGCACAGCCCGGGUUCAAUUCCCAGCCAGGGAA